RNAcentral lists this ribosomal RNA (253 nucleotides) under uncultured bacterium. RNAcentral describes it as "partial 16S ribosomal RNA". It matches the Rfam family "Bacterial small subunit ribosomal RNA", at positions 524 to 776 of the family's 1533-position model. The record is from RNAcentral.
UACGGAGGGUGCAAGCAUUAAUCGGAUUUAUUGGGCGUAAAGGGCGCGUAGGCGGAAGUGAAAGUCAGAUGUGAAAUCCCGGGGCUCAACCCCGGAACAGCAUUUGAAACUCCAUUUCUAGAGGGUAGGCGGAGAAAACGGAAUUCCACAAGUAGCGGUGGAAUGCGUAGAUAUCGCUUGGAACGCCGAAGGUGAAAACAGGUCGCUGGGGACGCGCCGACGCUGAGACACGAAAGCCAGGGGAGCAAACGGG